Molecule: ribosomal RNA, 245 nt
Filed under: uncultured Oscillospiraceae bacterium
Lineage: Bacteria; Bacillati; Bacillota; Clostridia; Eubacteriales; Oscillospiraceae
Description: partial 16S ribosomal RNA
Rfam family: Bacterial small subunit ribosomal RNA
Source: RNAcentral
CACGCCGUAAACGAUGAAUACUAGGUGUGGGGGGACUGACCCCUUCCGUGCCGCAGUUAACACAAUAAGUAUUCCACCUGGGGAGUACGACCGCAAGGUUGAAACUCAAAGGAAUUGACGGGGGCCCGCACAAGCAGUGGAUUAUGUGGUUUAAUUCGAAGCAACGCGAAGAACCUUACCAGGUCUUGACAUCGUGCGCAUACCAUAGAGAUAUGGGAAGCCCUUCGGGGCGCAUAGACAGGUGG